CGAGGGCGCAGUAGCAGAAUUUUUCACAAUCACCGAAAGCCUGAUGGAGCAAUACCGACGUGAAUGAUGAAGGUCUUCGUCUUUGUAAAAUUAUUUUAUUAGGGACGAGCGGCAACAAGAGGAAAUGGUUAGUGAUUGACUGUACCUAUUCAAUAAGUAACGGCAAACUAUGUGCCAGCAGCCGCAGGUAAUACAUAGGUUACAAGCGUUAUCCGGAUCUACUGGGCGUAAAGCGAGCGCAGGCUGAUUAACAAGUCUAGUGUGAAAGGCAGUCCUUAACAACAACCCGCAUUGGAAACUGUUAGUAUCGAGUGUGAUAGGGAGUUMUGGAACUCCAUUUGGAGCGGUGGAAUGCGUAGAUAUAUGGAAGAACACCAGCGGCGAAAGCGAGAACUUAGGUCUACAACUGACGCUUAGGCUGGAAAGUGUGGGGAGCAAAUAGGAUUAGAUACCCUAGUAGUCCACGCCGUAAACGAUGGUUAUUAGUUGUUGGUACGAAGUACUAGCAACUAAGCUAACGCAUUAAAUAACCCACCUGGGUAGUACAUUCGCAAGAAUGAAACUCAAACGGAAUUGACGGGGACCCGCACAAGAGGUGGAGCAUGUUUUUUUAAUUCCACRGUACACCUUAACCUUCUUGRGRUCUGACAUCCUCSUAUAAACUAUAUA
This 669-nucleotide ribosomal RNA is filed under the name uncultured bacterium. RNAcentral describes it as "bacterial SSU rRNA". It matches the Rfam family "Bacterial small subunit ribosomal RNA", at positions 344 to 1004 of the family's 1533-position model. The record is from RNAcentral.